This 496-nucleotide ribosomal RNA is filed under the name uncultured bacterium. RNAcentral describes it as "partial 16S ribosomal RNA". It matches the Rfam family "Bacterial small subunit ribosomal RNA", at positions 28 to 506 of the family's 1533-position model. The record is from RNAcentral.
GAUGAACGCUGGCGGCGUGCCUAAUACAUGCAAGUCGAGCGAACAGACGAGGAGCUUGCUCCUCUGACGUUAGCGGCGGACGGGUGAGUAACACGUGGAUAACCUACCUAUAAGACUGGGAUAACUUCGGGAAACCGGAGCUAAUACCGGAUAAUAUAUUGAACCGCAUGGUUCAAUAGUGAAAGACGGUUUUGCUGUCACUUAUAGAUGGAUCCGCGCCGCAUUAGCUAGUUGGUAAGGUAACGGCUUACCAAGGCGACGAUGCGUAGCCGACCUGAGAGGGUGAUCGGCCACACUGGAACUGAGACCCGGUCCAGACUCCUACGGGAGGCAGCAGUAGGGAAUCUUCCGCAAUGGGCGAAAGCCUGACGGAGCAACGCCGCGUGAGUGAUGAAAGUCUUCGGAUCGUAAAACUCUGUUAUUAGGGAAGAACAAAUGUGUAAGUAACUAUGCACGUCUUGACGGUACCUAAUCAGAAAGCCACGGCUAACUACGU